Molecule: ribosomal RNA, 164 nt
Filed under: Musa acuminata subsp. siamea
Lineage: Eukaryota; Viridiplantae; Streptophyta; Magnoliopsida; Zingiberales; Musaceae
Description: 5.8S ribosomal RNA
Rfam family: 5.8S ribosomal RNA
About the family: 5.8S ribosomal RNA (5.8S rRNA) is a component of the large subunit of the eukaryotic ribosome. It is transcribed by RNA polymerase I as part of the 45S precursor that also contains 18S and 28S rRNA.
Source: RNAcentral
UGGAUGACUCUCGACAACGGAUAUCUCGGCUCUCACAUCAAUGAAGAAUGUAGCGAAAUGCGAUACCUGGUGUGAAUUGCAGAAUCCCGUGAACCAUCGAGUCUUUGUAUGCAAGUUGCGCCCGGGGCCAUCCGGCUAAGGGCACGCCUGCCUGGGCGUCACGC